This 1374-nucleotide ribosomal RNA is filed under the name metagenome. Its description in RNAcentral is "SSU rRNA". It matches the Rfam family "Eukaryotic small subunit ribosomal RNA", at positions 404 to 1771 of the family's 1831-position model. The record is from RNAcentral.
GGGCUACUACAUCUAAGGAAGGCAGCAGGCGCGCAAAUUACCCAAUCCCGAUUCGGGGAGGUAGUGACAAAAAAUAACAAUACCGGGCCUUUUUGGGCUUGGUAAUUGGAAUGAGGGAGAGUUAAACGGACCAUCGAGUAUCCAUUGGAGGGCAAGUCUGGUGCCAGCAGCUGCGGUAAUACCAGCUCCAAUAGCGUAUAUUAAAGUUGUUGCAGUUAAAAAGCUCGUAGUUGGACUUGUGUGCGCUGUCCGCGGGUGGCCUGCGCCCAAAAGGGCGUUUCGGUUCGGCCCCGGUGGCGCCUUGAAAUCUGCAGCUGGGGGGACGUUGGCCUUAACUGGUCGGCGACCGCACGCCGGCUGCUCGGUUACUGUGAGAAAAUUAGAGUGUUCAAGGCAGGCAUUGGGUGCAAUUGAAUACAUUAGCAUGGAAUAAUAAAAUAUGGCUCCUGCCGUAUUUUGUUGGUUUUGACUGGUGGGAGUAAUGAUUGAUAGGGACGGUUGGGGGUGCUAGUAUUGAGCGGCCAGAGGUGAAAUUCAUGGAUUCGCUCAAGACUAACUUAUGCGAAAGCAUUCACCAAGGACGUCCUCUUUAAUCAAGAACGAAAGUUGGGGGAUCGAAGACGAUCAGAUACCGUCGUAGUCUCAACCAUAAACUAUGUCGACUUGGGAUCGGCGGUAGUUUUUUCAUUAAGACACUGUCGGGACCACGGGAGAAAUCAAAGUGUCUGGACUCUGGGGGAAGUAUGGUCGCAAGGCUGAAACUUGAAGGAAUUGACGGAAGGGCACCACCAGGAGUGGAGCCUCCGGCUUAAUUUGACCCAACACGGGGAAACUUACCAGGUCCAGAGAUGUAGAGGAUUGACAGAUUGGAGCUCUUUCUUGAUCACUUCGGUGGUGGUGCAUGGCCGUUCUUAGUUGGUGGAGUGAUUUGUCUGGUUAAUUCCGUUAACGAACGAGACCUCAGCCUGCUAGUGUAGUCGGCUGGAUUGCCUUUGGCGAUCCGUGAUUUCGACUUCUUAGAGGGACAAUCGACGCGCAGUCGAUGGAAGUUUGAGGCAAUAACAGGUCUGUGAUGCCCUUAGAUGUUCUGGGCCGCAUGCGCGCUACACUGCUGGGCUCAGCGAGUUUUACUUGGCCGAGAGGCCCGGUUAAUCUUGUGAAAUCCCAGCGUGCUUGGGCUCGCCUCCUGCAACUGGAGGCGCCAACGAGGAAUUCCUAGUAGACGCAGGUCAUCAACCUGCAUCGAUUACGUCCCUGCCCUUUGUACACACCGCCCGUCGUUCCAUAAGAGUGAGGCAUCCGGUGAAUUCUCGGGAGAGCCUGGGCGUGGCCAGCAAUGGUCUGCUCGGGUUUGAACUUGCAUAAACUUGGUGC